RNAcentral lists this ribosomal RNA (445 nucleotides) under uncultured bacterium. RNAcentral describes it as "partial 16S ribosomal RNA". It matches the Rfam family "Bacterial small subunit ribosomal RNA", at positions 331 to 792 of the family's 1533-position model. The record is from RNAcentral.
CCAGACUCCUACGGGAGGCAGCAGUGGGGGAUAUUGCACAAUGGGGGGAACCCUGAUGCAGCGACGCCGCGUGGGUGAAGGAGCGUUUCGGCGCGUAAAGCCCUAUCGGCAGGGAAGAAGGAGGACGGUACCUGACUAAGAAGCCCCGGCUAACUACGUGCCAGCAGCCGCGGUAAUACGUAGGGGGCGAGCGUUAUCCGGAUUCACUGGGCGUAAAGGGAGCGCAGGCGGCACGGCAAGUCCGGUGUGAAAGCCCGGGGCCCAACCCCGGGACUGCACUGGAAACUGCCGGGCUGGAGUGUCGGAGGGGCAGGCGGAAUUCCUAGUGUAGCGGUGAAAUGCGUAGAUAUUAGGAGGAACACCGGUGGCGAAGGCGGCCUGCUGGACGACGACUGACGCUGAGGCUCGAAAGCGUGGGGAGCAAACAGGAUUAGAUACCCCCGUA